RNAcentral lists this transfer RNA (71 nucleotides) under Actinomycetota bacterium. RNAcentral describes it as "tRNA-Gln". It matches the Rfam family "tRNA". Rfam says of the family: Transfer RNA (tRNA) molecules are approximately 80 nucleotides in length. Their secondary structure includes four short double-helical elements and three loops (D, anti-codon, and T loops). Further hydrogen bonds mediate the characteristic L-shaped molecular structure. tRNAs have two regions of fundamental functional importance: the anti-codon, which is responsible for specific mRNA codon recognition, and the 3' end, to which the tRNAs corresponding amino acid is attached (by aminoacyl-tRNA synthetases). tRNAs cope with the degeneracy of the genetic code in two manners: having more than one tRNA (with a specific anti-codon) for a particular amino acid; and 'wobble' base-pairing, i.e. permitting non-standard base-pairing at the 3rd anti-codon position. The record is from RNAcentral. Lineage: Bacteria; Bacillati; Actinomycetota.
UCGGGGAUCGUCCAAUGGCAGGACAACGGACUUUGAAUCCGUGAAUCGAGGUUCGACCCCUCGUCCCCGAG